This 1372-nucleotide ribosomal RNA is filed under the name uncultured bacterium. Its description in RNAcentral is "bacterial SSU rRNA". It matches the Rfam family "Bacterial small subunit ribosomal RNA", at positions 28 to 1381 of the family's 1533-position model. The record is from RNAcentral.
GAUGAACGCUGGCGGCGUGCCUAAUACAUGCAAGUCGAGCGAACGGACGAGAAGCUUGCUUCUCUGAUGUUAGCGGCGGACGGGUGAGUAACACGUGGAUAACCUACCUAUAAGACUGGGAUAACUUCGGGAAACCGUAGCUAAUACCGGAUAAUAUUUUGAACCGCAUGGUUCAAAAGUGAAAGACGGUCUUGCUGUCACUUAUAGAUGGAUCCGCGCUGCAUUAGCUAGUUGGUAAGGUAACGGCUUACCAAGGCAACGAUGCAUAGCCGACCUGAGAGGGUGAUCGGCCACACUGGAACUGAGACACGGUCCAGACUCCUACGGGAGGCAGCAGUAGGGAAUCUUCCGCAAUGGGCGAAAGCCUGACGGAGCAACGCCGCGUGAGUGAUGAAGGUCUUCGGAUCGUAAAACUCUGUUAUUAGGGAAGAACAUAUGUGUAAGUAACUGUGCACAUCUUGACGGUACCUAAUCAGAAAGCCACGGCUAACUACGUGCCAGCAGCCGCGGUAAUACGUAGGUGGCAAGCGUUAUCCGGAAUUAUUGGGCGUAAAGCGCGCGUAGGCGGUUUUUUAAGUCUGAUGUGAAAGCCCACGGCUCAACCGUGGAGGGUCAUUGGAAACUGGAAAACUUGAGUGCAGAAGAGGAAAGUGGAAUUCCAUGUGUAGCGGUGAAAUGCGCAGAGAUAUGGAGGAACACCAGUGGCGAAGGCGACUUUCUGGUCUGUAACUGACGCUGAUGUGCGAAAGCGCGGGGAUCAAACAGGAUUAGAUACCCUGGUAGUCCACGCCGUAAACGAUGAGUGCUAAGUGUUAGGGGGUUUCCGCCCCUUAGUGCUGCAGCUAACGCAUUAAGCACUCCGCCUGGGGAGUACGACCGCAAGGUUGAAACUCAAAGGAAUUGACGGGGACCCGCACAAGCGGUGGAGCAUGUGGUUUAAUUCGAAGCAACGCGAAGAACCUUACCAAAUCUUGACAUCCUUUGACAACUCUAGAGAUAGAGCCUUCCCCUUCGGGGGACAAAGUGACAGGUGGUGCAUGGUUGUCGUCAGCUCGUGUCGUGAGAUGUUGGGUUAAGUCCCGCAACGAGCGCAACCCUUAAGCUUAGUUGCCAUCAUUAAGUUGGGCACUCUAAGUUGACUGCCGGUGACAAACCGGAGGAAGGUGGGGAUGACGUCAAAUCAUCAUGCCCCUUAUGAUUUGGGCUACACACGUGCUACAAUGGACAAUACAAAGGGCAGCGAAACCGCGAGGUCAAGCAAAUCCCAUAAAGUUGUUCUCAGUUCGGAUUGUAGUCUGCAACUCGACUACAUGAAGCUGGAAUCGCUAGUAAUCGUAGAUCAGCAUGCUACGGUGAAUACGUUCCCGGGUCU